GGAGAGAUAGCUCAGUGGUUAAGGGUACUGGCUGCUCUAUCAGAAGACCUGGGUUCAAGUCCCAAUAUCUACA
Molecule: transfer RNA, 73 nt
Filed under: Mesocricetus auratus (golden hamster)
Lineage: Eukaryota; Metazoa; Chordata; Mammalia; Rodentia; Cricetidae
Rfam family: tRNA
About the family: Transfer RNA (tRNA) molecules are approximately 80 nucleotides in length. Their secondary structure includes four short double-helical elements and three loops (D, anti-codon, and T loops). Further hydrogen bonds mediate the characteristic L-shaped molecular structure. tRNAs have two regions of fundamental functional importance: the anti-codon, which is responsible for specific mRNA codon recognition, and the 3' end, to which the tRNAs corresponding amino acid is attached (by aminoacyl-tRNA synthetases). tRNAs cope with the degeneracy of the genetic code in two manners: having more than one tRNA (with a specific anti-codon) for a particular amino acid; and 'wobble' base-pairing, i.e. permitting non-standard base-pairing at the 3rd anti-codon position.
Source: Rfam by way of RNAcentral